AUGCGUCGGUUGCAUCAGACAAAUAAUUCACCAUGGCUUCUAAUUGGGGAUUUGAAUGAGAUACAAUAUCUGAAUGAGAAGGAAGGUGGUAACCCAAGGCCGCAACAAUAUAUGGUAGUUUUUCAGUCUGUCAUAAGCAAUUGUGAUCUGAGAGACAUGGGGUUCGUUGGCAAUAAGUUUACGUGGCAGAGAGGUCGGAUAAGGGAGAGACUGGAUAGGGGACUCAUCAAUGAUGCCUGGACCACGUUAUACCCGGAUGCCGCAUUACAAAACUUGAAUUACAAUCAUUCUGACCAUAGGCCGCUUUGCGUUGAUACAGAUUAUUAUUCCCAAUAG
Molecule: ribosomal RNA, 336 nt
Filed under: Triticum aestivum (bread wheat)
Lineage: Eukaryota; Viridiplantae; Streptophyta; Magnoliopsida; Poales; Poaceae
Description: partial small subunit ribosomal RNA
Source: RNAcentral